GUCAGUAAGAAGCUGAGUGGCCAACAAGCUGAGGCCGGAUUAAAAGGGCUAGCACCCCAUGAAGAAACGACCUGCAUUCAGUGUUGAGUUCCCUUCACUCUGACCCACUCCUUGGCAUGAUUCCUAAUGGAUCCCCGUCCCCACAAUGCAUGCGCAAGUGCGUGCAUGCGUGCGUGGACGACUGAAUAUUACUCGGCUUCAAGAAAGAGAAGACUCUGCCACUUGCUACAUGGAUAAAAUGAAAGGAAAUUAUGUGAAAUGAAAGAUGAAAAAUAUAGGAAAAUUUUUGCAUGAUCUCAUUUAUACGCAGACUUUUUUUUAAAGGUUCUAUACCGAGGCAGGGAAUCAACAGUGGUUUCCUGGGCCCAGGGUGAGACAGGAAAUGGGCAGGUCAAAGGAUAUAAAGCAACAGUUAGGCUGGGUGAGUGAAAGACUAAACCACAUCAGAGAACUAUAGUUGGCUAAUUGUUCUCCCGACUUUUUGCUCUACGUGUUUUGUGCUGGAAAUUUUUGCUGAAAUUGAGUUGUAUUUAGGAUUUCUGUUCUAAGAGUAGAUUUAGAACUACUCUUGCCACAGAGGGGAAAAUGGGUAGCUAAGUGGGACAACUGACCUGUUCAUCUGUCCUACCGCAGAAGCAACUAUCUUAACAGAUUCUGUACUUUAAAUAUGCACCAGAACAUUUAAAUAAAAAGAGGUCUUUGU
RNAcentral lists this long non-coding RNA (703 nucleotides) under Rattus norvegicus (Norway rat). RNAcentral describes it as "long non-coding RNA NONRATT030056". The record is from RNAcentral. Lineage: Eukaryota; Metazoa; Chordata; Mammalia; Rodentia; Muridae.